GACGAACGCUGGCGGCGUGCUUAACACAUGCAAGUCGAACGAUGAAGCCCAGCUUGCUGGGUGGAUUAGUGGCGAACGGGUGAGUAACACGUGAGUAACCUGCCCUGGACUCUGGGAUAACUUCGGGAAAUCGGAGCUAAUACCGGAUAGGACCUUUCACCGCAUGGUGGGGGGUGGAAAGUUUUUCGGUUUGGGAUGGACUCGCGGCCUAUCAGCUUGUUGGUGAGGUAAUGGCUCACCAAGGCGUCGACGGGUAGCCGGCCUGAGAGGGUGACCGGCCACACUGGGACUGAGACACGGCCCAGACUCCUACGGGAGGCAGCAGUGGGGAAUAUUGCACAAUGGGCGCAAGCCUGAUGCAGCAACGCCGCGUGCGGGAUGACGGCCUUCGGGUUGUAAACCGCUUUUAGUAAGGAAGAAGCCUUUCGGGGUGACGGUACUUGCAGAAAAAGGACCGGCUAACUACGUGCCAGCCGCCGCAGUAACAC
This 488-nucleotide ribosomal RNA is filed under the name uncultured bacterium. Its description in RNAcentral is "bacterial SSU rRNA". It matches the Rfam family "Bacterial small subunit ribosomal RNA", at positions 28 to 526 of the family's 1533-position model. The record is from RNAcentral.